GCGGCCGUAGUCUAGCUUGGUAGGACUUCGGCCUCCCGAGCCGGUGACCCGGGUUCAAAUCCCGGCGGCCGCACCA
RNAcentral lists this transfer RNA (76 nucleotides) under Candidatus Bathyarchaeota archaeon. Its description in RNAcentral is "tRNA-Gly". It matches the Rfam family "tRNA". From Rfam's summary of the family: Transfer RNA (tRNA) molecules are approximately 80 nucleotides in length. Their secondary structure includes four short double-helical elements and three loops (D, anti-codon, and T loops). RNAcentral also lists the same sequence under 1 other name. Lineage: Archaea; Thermoproteati; Candidatus Bathyarchaeota. The record is from RNAcentral.